Eriocheir sinensis (Chinese mitten crab) is the source of this 1709-nucleotide long non-coding RNA. RefSeq lists it as uncharacterized. Lineage: Eukaryota; Metazoa; Arthropoda; Malacostraca; Decapoda; Varunidae. The record is from RefSeq and is a predicted model, not a curated record. The transcript is spliced from 2 exons.
AAAAAAAUGAGAAAAGUAGGAAAAAUUAGAAGUAAAAAAAUGAGAAAAGUAGGAAAAAUUAGAAGUAAAAAAAUGAGAAAAGUGGGAAAAAUUAGAAGUAAAAAAAAUAAGAAAAGUAGGAAAAAAUAGAAGUAAAAAAUGAGAAAAGUAGGAAAAAUUAGAAGUAAAAAAAUGAGAAAAGUAGGAAAAAUUAGAAGUAAAAAAUGAGAAAAGUAGGAAAAAUUAGAAGUAAAAAAAUAGGAAAAGUAGGAAAAAUUAGAAGUAAAAAAAUGAGAAAAGUAGGAAAAAUUAGAAGUAAAAAAUGAGAAAAGUAGGAAAAUUAGAAGUAAAAAAAUAGAAAAAGUAGGAAAAAUUAGAAGUAAAAAAUGAGAAAAGUAGGAAAAAUUAGAAGUAAAAAAUUAGAAAAGUAGAAAAAAUUAGAAGUAAAAAAAUUAGAAAAGCAGGAAAAAUUAGAAGUAAAAAAAUAGAAAAGUAGGAAAAAUUAGAAGUAAAAAAAUAGGAAAAGUAGGAAAAAUUAGAAGUAAAAAAAUAAGAAAAGUAGAAAAAAUUAGAAGUAAAAAAAUUAGAAAAGUAGAAAAAAUUAGAAGUAAAAAAAUGAGAAAAGUAGGAAAAAUUAGAAGUAAAAAAAUGAGAAAAGUAGGAAAAAUUAGAAGUAAAAAAAUUAGAAAAGUAGGAAAAAUUUGAAGUAAAAAAUGAGAAAAGUAGGAAAAAUUAGAAGUAAAAAAAUGAGAAAAGCAUGAAAAAUUAGAAGUAAAAAAAUGAGAAAAGUAGGAAAAAUUAGAAGUAAAAAAUGAGAAAAGUAGGAAAAAUUAGAAGUAAAAAAAUUAGAAAAGCAGGAAAAAUUAGAAGUAAAAAAAUUAGAAAAGUAAGAAAAAUUAGAAGUAAAAAAAAUAGAAAAGUAGGAAAAAUUAGAAGUAAAAAAAUUAGAAAAGCAGGAAAAAUUAAGAGAAGUAAAAGUAUAGAAGUUAAAAAAGGAAAACUAUUAAAACAAAAGAAAGGCGAUACACAUGGAAAGAAAAGGGAAAUGUGUGACUAAUUCUACUGAAAUUGAGAUGAGUCGGAGAGAAUAAAACCAAAAUGAGAAAAUCGGAGAUGCUAGCCUCCACCAGAACAAAGGAAGAAAUACUCGGGGAAAUAUUCAAGAGGAAGGACGAGAUGGUGAUUCCGAGGAGAUGAAAAGAAGGAAGGAAAAACAGAUACACAGCCCUGUCCACUCACACAACGGAAGAAACGCACGGAAAAGAAAGAAAACGAGAACGGCAUUGCUUAGAUAAAAGAAAAAGAAAGAGAUAAACAGAUAAGGAUAGAGGGGGAGGUAACAUUCACUACUAGUACUAACAGAGCCCAACCUAGAGACACUACAGCAAAAACACCAGUUCUAGGAUAAAAUAAACACUAGUAAAUCACACCACGACAAUGAGAAAUCGAAAAAAAAAUAAAAAAAGGAUAAAUCGAGCAGCUUAAAUAUUCCAGGGAGGACACGAGAAGACAUACGAAGAGAGAAGGAUGGAGAAUAACAAUAGGUGAAGGAGAGUUAGAAAAAGGAAUACAAAGAGAAAGAUCAGAAAAGGGGGAGAAGGAUAGAUGAUAACAGUGGGUGAAGGAAAGGAGAGGGAGAAAAAGGAAUACCAAAAGAAAGAUCAGAAAAGGAGGAGAAGGAUAGAUGAUAACAGUGGGUGAAGGAAAGGAGAGGGAGACGAAGGAAGAGA